This 86-nucleotide transfer RNA is filed under the name bacterium. RNAcentral's name for it is "tRNA-Ser". It matches the Rfam family "tRNA". Rfam says of the family: Transfer RNA (tRNA) molecules are approximately 80 nucleotides in length. Their secondary structure includes four short double-helical elements and three loops (D, anti-codon, and T loops). Further hydrogen bonds mediate the characteristic L-shaped molecular structure. tRNAs have two regions of fundamental functional importance: the anti-codon, which is responsible for specific mRNA codon recognition, and the 3' end, to which the tRNAs corresponding amino acid is attached (by aminoacyl-tRNA synthetases). tRNAs cope with the degeneracy of the genetic code in two manners: having more than one tRNA (with a specific anti-codon) for a particular amino acid; and 'wobble' base-pairing, i.e. permitting non-standard base-pairing at the 3rd anti-codon position. The record is from RNAcentral.
GGAAAGAUGGCAGAGUGGUCUAAUGCACCGGUUUACUAAACCGACGAGGCUAAUAACCUCCGGGGGUUCGAAUCCCUCUCUUUCCG